AAGAGCCUAUGAGAAAGUACAAAAAACAGAGACCCACUUGUUCACACACUCAGGGAUCUCAUAAAAACACUAAACUAGAAGCCACAAUGUAAUAUGCAAAGGACCUGGAGCAGAGGCUGUGUGAGCUGCCCCAGUUUCUGUAAAUUCAUAGGUCCAUUGGUCAUGUUGAUUUAGAGGGCCUUGUUUACUUUGUGUCCUCCAUCCCCUCUGGCUUUUACAUUCUUUCUGCCUCCUUUUCCACAUGGUUCCCUGAUCCCUGUGUGGAGGGAUUUGAUGCAGGCAUCCUAUUUAGGGCCUAGUAUUUCAAGGUCUCUAACUUUCUGUCUGUCUGUCUGUGGAUCUAUGUCAUUGUUCCCGUCUGCUGCAGGAAGAAGCUUCUCUGAUGGCUGAGCAAGGCACUGAUUAAUGAUAUAACAAAAUGUCAUUAGGAGUCAUUUUAUUGCUACUUUAUAAAAGAACAGUAGUAUUUGAAUUUACUACUAGGUCCCUAGUCUAUCUCGUCUCUGGUUCUUGAUCAUCAAAGCAGUUCUGGGCAUGGGCUCCACCUCACAGAGGGGCCUUACGUCAACUCAGAUAUUGGUUACUCCCGCAAACUUUGCUCCACCAUUGCUCUAACAUUUCUUACAGGCAUACCAUCUAUUUAUCCCGUAGAAGCCUGUAUGCUUUCUAAUGAGAGACAGAAAAGGGUUUGUGGCUAGAUUUAGUGUUUAUGUUUCUCUUUGGGUAGCGCACACAACACCUUCCUGUACCAAAGACAAUAGCAUGUGGGCGUGAGGCUCUAUGUAGACACCUGCUCAACUUGGCAUGUUCAAUGAGUUGUCUUCAGCAGUGGGGCUUGGGUGUUACCUUGUGAAGAGCAGCCUGUAGUCUUUGCAACAGCCUGGGUUGCUUGGGGGCCGUUUAGUCAACAACUCAAUCAUAUAUAACACAGUUCCAGUACUAGAAGCUUUAUUUGGUUAGAAGAAAUAGUCAGGGGGUAUCUUUCUUCCCCAUCAUUUGGCAGUUUCAUUUAGAUUGCCUUCAUAUACGAAUAUAUUUUAGGAUGCUUCUAAUAUUAGGUUUAGUAUUAGGUUUCCAUACUAUCCCUUAUAUGGCCCUUAAUUCUCUCCCUGAAAUCUCUCCUACGCCCUUCUCUUCCCUUUCCCCUCUUGAUCUUCCCAUUCUAACACCAUCCCAUCUACCCAUAACUAUAUUUUAUUUCUAUCUUUACAUUUCUUAUAUAUUUAACUUCUACCUCUGUGGUUCUGUGGGUUAUAGCUUGGUUAUCAUUGACUGAAGAGCUGACAUCCAAAUUUAAGUGAAUACAUUCAUAUUUGGCUUCUGGGUCUAAGUUGCCUCAUUCAGCAUGAGCCUUUUCUAGUUCCGUUUAUUUAUUAAUACAUUUCAUAAUUUCACUUUUUCAUGGUGAAUAAUACCACAUUGUGUAAAUGUACCAUAUAUUCUUUAUCUAUUCUUGUGUUGAGGGACGUCAGGGUAGUUUCCAAUUUCUGGCUAUUAUUAAUAGAGUAGCAAUGAAUAUGGUUGAGCUAGUGACUUAAUAAUCAUUUUUGAAAUGUCUCUUUGGUGUAUGCCCAAGAGACAUACACCAAGAGACAUUUGGUGUAGCUGGAUCUUGAGGUAGAUUUAUUUUCAUAUUUCUGAGGAACCACCACACUGAUUUGCAUAGUGGCUAUACAACUUUUCACUCCCACCAAGCAAUAGAUGAGCGCUCCUGUUAUUCCACAUCUUAACCAGUGUUAACUGUCAACUGUUUUAUUGAUCUUAGCCAUUCUGAUGGGUGUGAAAUAAAAUCUCAAAGUAAUUUUGAUUUGCAUUUCUCUGAUGGCUAAGGACAUUGAAUAUCAAGUGUUUCUCAGCUAUUUGAGUUUCCUCUUUUGAGAAUUCUCUGUAAUCCAUCUUUUUUCCCAAAUUUUUAUUAGGUAUUUUUUUCAUUUACAUUUCAAAUGCUAUCCCGAAAGUCCCCUAUACCCUCCCCACCCUGCUCCCCUCCCCACCCACUCUCACUUCUUGGCCCUGGUGUUCCCCUGUACUGGGGCAUAUAAAGUUUAUAAGACCAAGGGGCCUCUCUUCCCAAUGAUGGCCGACUAGGCCAUCUUAUGCUACAUAUGCAGUUAGAGACAUGAGCUCUGGGGGUACUGGUUAGUUAAUAUUGUUGUUCCACCUAUAGGGUUGCAGACCCCUUCAGCUCCUUGGGUACUUUCUCUAGCUCCUCCAUUGGGGGCUCUGUGUUCCAUCCAAUGGAUGACUGUGAGCAUCUACUUCUGUGUUUGCCAGGCACUGGCAUAGCCUCACAAGAGACAGCUAUAUCAGGGUCCUUUCAGCAAAAUCUUGCUGGCGUAUGCAAUAGUGUCUGCGUUUGGUGGCUGAUUAUGGGAUGGAUCCCCGGUGGAGCAGUCUCUGGAUGGUCCAUCCUUUCAUCUCAGCUCCAAACUUUGUCUCUGUAACUCCUUCCAUGGUGUUUUGUUCCCAAUUCUAAGAAGGGACGAAGUGUCCACACUUUGGUCUUCGUUCUUGAGUUUCAUGUGUCUGUAACCCAUUUUUAAAAUUGAAUUAUUUGAUGUAUUUUAGGUGUUAUAUUUUUGAAAAUCUCUGUCUAUCUAUCUAUCUAUCUAUCUAUCUAUCUAAUUAUCUAUCAUCUAUCUAUCUUAUCUAUCUAUCUAUCUAUCUAUCUAUCUAUCUAAAUUGUCUGUCUGUCUAUAUAUUUUGGAUAUUAGCCCUUUAUUGGAUAUAUAUGUAGUUGGUAAAAAUAUCUUCCCAUUCCAUAGGCUUCCAAUCUAUCUGAAUGUCAGUGCCCUUUGUUGUGCAGAAGCCUUUCAGUCUCAUGAGGUACCAUCUAUGAAUUGUUUUCCUCACUACCUGUGCUAAUGAUGUUUUGUUCAGAAAGUCUUUUUUCCUGUGCGAAUGCAUUCAAGGCUGUCUCCCACUAUCAGGUUCAGUGUAUCUGGUUUUAUGCUGAGAGUUGGAGUUGAUUUUUUUGUGCAGGGUGAUACGUAUGGAUCUAUUUAAAUUAUUCUACAUGCAGCCUUCUUUAAUUUAUUUCUUAAUUUCUGUUUUGAUCUAUAUUUUUUCCUUUCAGUGGAGAGUUGUUCAGUUUCCAUGAGUUUGCACACUUUCUGUUGUUUUUGUUGUUGAUAUCCAUCUUUAAUCUGUGGUGGUCAGAUGGGAUGCAGGGUUUUCUUUCAAUUUUCUUUUAUCUAUUGACAGUUGCUUUGUGUCUGAGUAUGUGGUGAGUUUUGUUCAAACUUCCAUGAGGUGCUAAGAAGAAAGGUGUAUCCUUUUGGGUUUGGGGGAAAUGUUUUCUAAGUAUCUGUUAGGUACACUUGUUUUAUAAGGUCAAUUAGCUCCAACAUUUCUCUGUUUAGUUUUUGUUUAUUUGACCUCUCUGUUGGCAAGAGUGGGUAUGGAAGUCUCCUACUAUCAGUAUGAGAUGGUCAAUAAGUGAUUUAAUCUGUGGUAUAGUUUCUUUUAUGAAUUUGGGUGCCCCUGGGUAUAGAGCAUAGAUGUUAGGAGUUGCCAUGUCCUCUUAGUGGAUUUUUCCUUUGAGUAUGAAGUGUCCCUUCCAAUAUCUUCUAUUAAAGUUUUAGUUAGAAGUCUAUUUUGUCAAAUUUUAAAAUGGCUACACAAUUGCCUUUCUUAUGUCCAUUUGCUUGGAAUAUCUGUUUAAAUUAUUUUACUCUGAGGUAAUAUCUACCCUUGAUGUUGAGGUAUGUUUCUUGGAUGCAGCAGAAGGAUAGAUUGUAUAUUCACAUCCAUUCUAUUAGUCUAUGUCUUUUUUUAUUGGGGAAUUAAGCCCAUUGAUGUUGAGAGAUCUCAAUGAGCAAGUGGUAUUUGUCAAUUUCUGUUCUUUUGGGGUGUGUGUGUGUGUUUGUGUGUGUAUCUGUGUUGCCCUCUUUUUGGAUAUGCUUGUGUGAGAUUAUGUAUUUAUUGUGUUUUCUUAGGUGUGGCUAACCUCUUUUGUUUGUAGUUUUCCUUCUAGUGCCUCCUAAUGAUGUUUGUUUUAUCAUAGAAUGUCUUAUUUUCUCCAUCUAUUGUGGUUGAAAGUUUUGCUGGGUAUGGUAAUUUGGGCUGGCAUCUGUGGUCAGAGUGUGUAGAACAUGUCCAGGCCCUUCUAUUUUUUAAAUUCUCUAUUGAGUGUUAUUUUAAUAGGUCUGCCUUUAUAUAUUACUUGGCCUUUUUCCUUGCAGCUUUUAAUAUUCUUUCUUUGUUCCACAUGUGUAUUGUUUUGUUAUUAUGUGCCAAGGUGAAUUUCUUUUCUGGUCCAAUCUAUUUGGUGUUCUGUAUGCUUCUUGUACCUUUGAUAGGCAUCUCCUUUAGGUUAGCGACAUUUUCUUCUAUGAUGUUGUUGAAAAUAUUUUCUGUGCAUUCAACCUGUAUUCCUUCUCCUUCCUAUUUUUCUAUUAUUUUUAGAUUUGGUCUUUCAUGGUGUCCUAGAUUUCCUGGAUGUUUUGUGUCAGGCUUUUUUUAGGUUUAACAUUUUCUUUGACCACAGUAUCUAUUUGUCCUAUUGUGUCUUCUAUGCCUGAGAUUCCUUCUUCCAUCUCUUGUAUUCUAUUGGUAGACCUUCCCUCUGAGGUUCGUAUCCAAGUUCCUAAAUUUUUUAUUUCCAGAUUUCCUUUAGCUUGUGUUUUCUUCAUUGAUUUUAUUUCUACUUUCAGUUCUUUUUUAAAAAAAUCUUUUAAAUUUACUUUACAUCAUUUUUACAGCUUGCUCCCUCCCUCCUCUCUUCCCAGCCCAACUCUAAAAAACCCCUCUUUUUAUUGCCCCCUCUUCUUGUCAAAGGGGAUACUACCCUACCCUGGGGCAUUUAGUCCUGUCCUGCUGAGGCCCAUUCAGGUCAAAGUAUGGGGGAACCAGGAUCCAAUGGCAGGGAACAAAGUCUGAGACAUCCCAUGUUCUACUUGUUAGGGGAACUACAUGAGCACCAAACUGCAUAUUUGCUACAGAUGUGUAGGGGAUCUAGGUCCAGCUCCUGCAUGCUCCCUGGUUGGUGGCCCAGGCUCUGUGAGGCCCCAUGAUCCCAGGUUAUUUGACUCUAUGGGUCUUUGAUGGUGUUCUUGACCCUUUCAACUUGCUCACUUCUAUCCCUUACUCUUCCACAAGAUUCCCCAGGCUCUGCCUGAUAUUUGGAUGUGGGUCUCUGCAUCUACCUCUAUUCACUGUUGGAUGAAGCUUCUCAGGAGACAGUUAUGCUAGAUUCCUGUCUACAAGCAUAGCAGAGUAUGAUUAAUAGUGUCAGGGUUGGCUCUCUCACAUGGGAUGGGUCUCUAGUUGGGGCAGUCAUUGGAUGGCUGUUUCCUUAGUCUCUGUUCCAUCUUUAUCUGUUUUAUUAUUUCCUUCCACUGGUUGUGCUCUCAUAGAUUUCUUUAAGGAAUUUAUUCAUUUCCUACCUAAGAACUUCUAAUGUAUUCAUAAAGACUAUUUGAAGGUCUUUUUCUUGUGCUUAAGCUAUUAUGCAAUAUUCAUGGCCUGCUUGUGGUAAUGUUGCUUGGCUCUAGUGUAGAUAUAUUGUUCUGGCUGUUAUUGAUUGUAUUUUUACACUGGCAUUUAAGCUCUGGGAUUAGAAAGAUUGUAAUUCUAGGUGCUGAUAUCUGGUCUGGUCUUUGUUGAGUGGGUGUUUUGUUCCUUUGUUUCUGUUACUCUGUCUGCUUCUUUUGUUUGUUUGUUUGUUUGUUUUGUUUGUUUGCUUUUCAAGAUAGGAUUUCUCUGUGUGGCUCUGGCUCUCCUGGAACUCAUUAUGUAGACCAGGCUGGCCUUGAAUUCAGAGAUCCACCUGCCUCUGCCUCCAGAGUGCUGUGAUUAAAAGCAAGUGCCACCACUGCCCAACUAAAGAUUAAAUUCUUUGGAACUCACUAAGUAGAUGAGGCUGGCCUCAAACUCAGAGAUCUACCUGCCUCUGCCUCUGGAGUGCUGAGGUUAAAGGCAUGUGCCACCUUGUCCCACCUGUCCCCUUCUUUCUGUGUUUUAGGAGAGUAUGGUGGUUGUGUGUUACCUGGUAGGAAAUUCUUCUGGUAUCCUGAUUGGUUUGGCUACUGGGGGUUUUCCAUGUAAAAUAUGUUUCUAGGUACUGGGAACUGACACUUAGGAGUGGGGAUAGGUACGGAGUGGGAUUUUGACAGGGUCCACCAGAGGGUGAAAAGCAGUGUGUUCCAUCAGGACUGCUUAGUCCCCUGGGAAUGGGGUCAAAGGGUAGGGAAAAGCCACAGCUACAGAGGUGGAGUUAAGGCUUGGGAAAAUUAGACUUGGAGGAAUGGAAGGAGGAGUGAGGGUCUGCAGUCAGCAUUCUUUCUUCCCUAGCUGGAGUGGCCUAUGGGUUCUCAGGGAAUACUUGAUGAAGUUGGGGGGCUAGAAUAAAGCAAGGGGUUGGACAGAAGUUUGGAGGGGAAGAUCUGCAGUUAGCCUAUCUGCUUCCCCAGCUGGAAUGCUCAUUCCAUUAUUUUCAACCCAGACUCUAUAGACUUGACCACUAGAGCAGAGAGGUGUUAUCCUGAGGAUUUGAGAAAUGACAAGCUAGUGAGUUCUAUACGUUUCUUUAUUGUUAACCACAUGUUCAGUAUAGGGUGUUGAAGUUCUCUUCAGUUCCCUCAGCUACUAACAGACAGACAAAAAUUUCCACAUGACCAUGACAUUUCUCGGUGCCCAAAGCAGGUGAUCUAACAGAAGAAAACUUCUAUGAGUACUUUUGUGAAUACUUGCCCAACUGCAGCCCAACACCAAGGUAUUUGCCUUUCCUCCCCUCCCAACUCCCUGCCAGGCAUUGCAGACAGGCAGCAUGUUUUAGUCCUGCUACCCAGAGAUUAGAUUAUUAUGCAAUUCUCUGCCUUCUUUCAUGGCAGAUAUAGAUCCCAUUUCCCCUAUUAGGUCAUGCUAACAAGCCCUGGUGGAGAGCUGACUUUACCCCUGGCAAAAGCAAACAGUGUCCCAACUGUUCUUCCAGAGCAAUGUUGGCCAUAUCCAUCUUGGAGCUGAAUUUCCAAUGCCUAGUAGCUAUUGGUAGGUGAUGUAGAUAGACACUAAAUGUUAUUGCACUUGACCUCUGUUGCCUCCUAGUCCUGCCCUCAGCUUCCACACCUAUGGGCUCAAAAAAUAAACUAAGGUAUGUGGCUAGUUGAUACUCCUUCCUUCCUCCCUCCCUCCAAUUCCCUGGCAUAAAUGGAACCCAUUGGUUGCUUAGUCUUUCAGUGUCCCCAUCCCUAAUGGUAGCUUGAACCAGGAAGGGGAAGCUUGUCAACUUUCAUGGAGGCAACAGAAGUGGAGAAUUGGAAUCUUACUUCAACUGGAAAGACAUUGGUGAGCUGAGUGUCCACCCUAACUGUCUGUGAUACUCCAGUGAGUCAGUGCUUCACUUCUAUCACUGUAAUGGCAGAGAGGGAGGCCCCAGCGGUUAUCAGAACAUGCAUUCUACCAGUCACUGGUAUUAUAUAUUUUUAUGGGAAAACUGCCUUCUAGUUGAAGUAAAGCAGGAUCCAGUAUCUUAUUAUCAGACACACAGGAUGAAAUUAGAAAAUUACUUAUUCCAAGAAGUAGAAAUAUAACUCCAAUGGGAAAGUCUAGUCAACAGGUGCUAACACUUGAGAUUCAUCUCAUACGUAUUAGAAGACACCAUGACAACAGUGUUCUAACAAGCCAUUACAAAUUCUCAAAAUAAGAGAUUAGGAAUCCUCACUUCAGAAAUAGAAUUAUUGCCGGGCAUGGUGGCACACGCCUUUAAUCCUAGCACAUGGGAGGCAGAGGCAGGCGGAUUUCUGAGUUUGAGGCCAGCCUGGUCUACAGAGUGAGUUCUAGGACAGCCAGGGCUAUACAGAGAAACCCUGUCUCGAAAAUACCAAAAAAAAAAAAUAAUAACAAUAAAAUUGUUUGUAUUUAAAAGGGACUGAAGGAUAUUAUAGAACCGAAAAUAAUUACACCUUAUGGGGCACAGUAGCAGAGUGGGGCAAAGUCUACAAAAACAGUAAACUUAAAGAAUGCCAGAGCAAAUAUUGAAAGAAUUUUACUAUCCCCUAGCAUCUAAGUUCCAGAAGGAAAGAAUAACAAGAAUGAAACAAAAAACAAUUUGAAAUAAUCUGAAAACCUGAAUUUGGUAAAUGACAUCCAGCAAUUAAACCCAAUUAAUCCCAUGCCAUGAUGUAUCAUGAUUGUGAUAUCUGAAUAAGAAUGUUCCCCAUAGGCUCAUGUGUUUGAACAGUUGGUUCUCAGUUGGUUGGAUUGUUUGGGGAGAUUAAGGAUUAAGGAGGAAUUACAUCACUGGGGACAAGCCUUGAGUGUUUACAGUCUCUCCCCUUAUCCAGUUCACUUCCUUUGCUUCAUGCUUAUAGUUGAAGUUGUGAGUUCUCAGCUUCUUGCUGUGGUCCAUGCCUGCCAUUUGCUGCAUGCCCCCCCCCCCUUCCAAUGAUGGUUCCUGUGGAAUUAAAGCAAAACCAGAUUAAUUCUUCCAUAAGUUUCUUUUGGUCAUGAUGUUUUAUUGCAACGACAGAAAAGUAACGGAUACAACCAUUAAAUGUCUACAAGCCAAAGAUGGGGAAUUUGAGCAGGAGGAGCCUUUUUGUGUGCAGUAUUGGGGCCAGAGAGAAGUGACAGAGCUUUCCAAGUACUAAAAGAAAAGCAACUAAUCACAGGUUCUAUAUGCAACCAAAUUAUCCUCUAGGACUGAAGAGGAAAAUGAAACCUUGGAUGGAAGAAACCUGAGAAUUUAUUGCUGACAAACAUACUACUAAAGGGCCUGCACAUGCACAGAUGAACCUCACUACAUAAGGUGGUGCUCUGGGGGACUUCUCCAUGGAAAAGUUUGAAGUUGUACUCCUUUCACAAUGACUCUUGUGCUUUAUUACAGAGUUAAAAAUAAACCUAUUUUUAAAAGUCGGAAGCCUUCAAGUGUUGCUGCAGAAGCCGAAGGCUCUUUGGAACAUGUGAACACUACAGCACAGUAGUGCAUGGAAAGAAUGCUGUUAGGAGCUGUUUUUUGUUUUUUUGUUUUGUUUUGUUUUUUGAGUUGGAGGAUUUUAUUUUCAGAUGAUUUAUUGGUUUACAGUGUGGAUGUUUUUGCAGAUAUAAUGGUCUGUGUUCUGUAAGAUCUGACUUGUUUCAUAGUAGCUAUUCAGUGAUUAAAUAUGUUAACAUCAAAAGAACACAUUGCAGAAAGGUACUGGGACAUAACAUUUGUUAAAUGAGAUUACAAAGAGAUGGAGCCAACCUCCUAAUUUAAUAUAAACAUACCAUGUAAAUAGCCCGAAGUAGCUGCGACUUUUCAAGAAAUCAUGCUAUUCUGAGAAAUAGUUAAUAAAAUCCUGACUCGAUGUUGUGAAAUACUUUAAGAUAUUAUUCUCAUAUAUUUGUACCAUGAGGCUUUUUAAAACAACAAAAUAAAGCAACCGUCAAUCAA
Long non-coding RNA from Mus musculus (house mouse), 9376 nucleotides. RefSeq annotates it as predicted gene, 54309. The transcript has 2 exons. NCBI's taxonomy places the organism in Eukaryota, Metazoa, Chordata, Mammalia, Rodentia, Muridae. The record is from RefSeq and is a predicted model, not a curated record.